UUCCCGGGCCUUGUACACACCGCCCGUCACACCACGAAAGUUGGCAAUACCCGAAGCCGGUGGCCUAACCCGCAAGGGAGGGAGCCGUCUAAGGUAGGGUCGAUGAUUGGGUG
Molecule: ribosomal RNA, 113 nt
Filed under: uncultured bacterium
Lineage: Bacteria
Description: partial 16S ribosomal RNA
Rfam family: Bacterial small subunit ribosomal RNA
Source: RNAcentral